UUCUUUAUAGCUUGCUAUGGAGGAUAAUUAGUGGCAGACGGGUGAGUAAUGCAUAGGAAUCUACCUAGUAGUAUGGGAUAGCCACUAGAAAUGGUGGGUAAUACUGUAUAAUCCCUGCGGGGGAAAGAUUUAUCGCUAUUAGAUGAGCCUAUGUUAGAUUAGCUAGUUGGUAGGGUAAAGGCCUACCAAGGCGAUGAUCUAUAGCUGGUCUGAGAGGAUGAUCAGCCACACUGGAACUGAGAUACGGUCCAGACUCCUACGGGAGGCAGCAGUGGGGAAUAUUGGACAAUGGGCGCAAGCCUGAUCCAGCUAUGCCGCGUGAGUGAGGAAGGCCUUAGGGUUGUAAAACUCUUUCAGUAGGGAAGAUAAUGACGGUACCUACAGAAGAAGUCCCGGCAAACUCCGUGCCAGCAGCCGCGGUAAUACGGAGGGGGCAAGCGUUGUUCGGAAUUAUUGGGCG
RNAcentral lists this ribosomal RNA (460 nucleotides) under Anaplasma phagocytophilum. RNAcentral describes it as "bacterial SSU rRNA". It matches the Rfam family "Bacterial small subunit ribosomal RNA", at positions 69 to 560 of the family's 1533-position model. Lineage: Bacteria; Pseudomonadati; Pseudomonadota; Alphaproteobacteria; Rickettsiales; Anaplasmataceae. The record is from RNAcentral.